This 484-nucleotide ribosomal RNA is filed under the name uncultured bacterium. Its description in RNAcentral is "partial 16S ribosomal RNA". It matches the Rfam family "Bacterial small subunit ribosomal RNA", at positions 30 to 507 of the family's 1533-position model. The record is from RNAcentral.
AUUGAACGCUGGCGGCAGGCCUAACACAUGCAAGUCGAGCGGAUGAAGGGAGCUUGCUCCUGGAUUCAGCGGCGGACGGGUGAGUAAUGCCUAGGAAUCUGCCUGGUAGUGGGGGAUAACGUCCGGAAACGGGCGCUAAUACCGCAUACGUCCUGAGGGAGAAAGUGGGGGAUCUUCGGACCUCACGCUAUCAGAUGAGCCUAGGUCGGAUUAGCUAGUUGGUGGGGUAAAGGCCUACCAAGGCGACGAUCCGUAACUGGUCUGAGAGGAUGAUCAGCCACACUGGAACUGAGACACGGUCCAGACUCCUACGGGAGGCAGCAGUGGGGAAUAUUGGACAAUGGGCGAAAGCCUGAUCCAGCCAUGCCGCGUGUGUGAAGAAGGUCUUCGGAUUGUAAAGCACUUUAAGUUGGGAGGAAGGGCGGUAAGUUAAUACCUUGCUGUUUUGACGUUACCAACAGAAUAAGCACCGGCUAACUUCGUG